RNAcentral lists this microRNA precursor (89 nucleotides) under Pristionchus pacificus. RNAcentral describes it as "mir-2241 microRNA precursor family". It matches the Rfam family "mir-2241 microRNA precursor family". The record is from Rfam by way of RNAcentral. Lineage: Eukaryota; Metazoa; Nematoda; Chromadorea; Rhabditida; Neodiplogasteridae.
UAUUCGAUACGCCUCUAAUCUUCAGGAUCCCUGUCUGAACACAGAAAUUGAGUGUUCGCAAGGUUUCCUCAAGAUCAGGGCUUCGAGUC